This 468-nucleotide ribosomal RNA is filed under the name uncultured bacterium. Its description in RNAcentral is "partial 16S ribosomal RNA". It matches the Rfam family "Bacterial small subunit ribosomal RNA", at positions 28 to 507 of the family's 1533-position model. The record is from RNAcentral.
GACGAACGCUGGCGGCGUGCUUAAUACAUGCAAGUCGAACGGACAGGCCCUGCUUUUGUUGGGUGCUCGAGUGGCGAACGGGUGAGUAACACGUGAGUAACCUCCCCUUGACUUUGGGAUAACUUCAGGAAACUGGGGCUAAUACCGGAUAGGAGCUCCUGCUGCAUGGUGGGGGUUGGAAAGUUUCGGCGGUUGGGGCUGGACUCGCGGCUUAUCCGCUUGUUGGUCGGGUAGUUGCUUACCAAGGUUGUGACGGAUAGGCUGCCUUGGCGGGGAAACAGGGACAAUGCGCCUAAGGGACGCAGCAGAAGGCAACCGGACGCAAUGGUGGGGAGCAUGACAGAAUAGGGCGGAGCCUGAUGCGGCGGCCCUCCGUGCGGGAUGACGGCCUUCGGGGUAUGAACAACUUUCGCCUGUAACGAAGCGUGAGUGACGGUAAUUAGUAAGAAAGCACCGGCUAACUACGUG